This 1019-nucleotide long non-coding RNA is filed under the name Trifolium pratense (red clover). RNAcentral's name for it is "long non-coding RNA (TPRA_LNC005102)". The record is from RNAcentral. Lineage: Eukaryota; Viridiplantae; Streptophyta; Magnoliopsida; Fabales; Fabaceae.
AAUGUUCAUACAACUGAGACUCAACUAAAUAUCUCUUAUAAAAGCUCUUUCCACUAACCAUGACAAUAUAUAGAUUGUAAAAUGAAGAUUCUACUUAGACUUAAUUCUCUUCUCAACUUCCUCCAUACUUAGAAUGCGGUAUACAGACCUGUUAUCGCAUUCAUAUACUUUCAUUUAGUUACAAAAUAAUGACAAUAAUUACAUUCAUUCUACGGUUAAAUAUGUUUUUAGUUCCUACUAAAUUUACUUCUUUUUUUUGUCUUUGUACCCAUUUUAGUCCCUACGAAGUACAAAACUCCGUGCUUUUAGUCCCUACAAAACAUUUAGUUUGUAACUUAUAGGGACUAAAACGUGAAUACAGGACGAAAAACAAAAUUCAAGAUAAUUGUAGGGACUAAAAAGUGAGUAAAGGACCCGAAACAUAUUCAUUCAUUCUAUUCCAAGAAGACACAGAAAUUCAAUUUACCAACAGAGAAGGCAUGCUGAAAUACACAGUAUCACAUUUCUCUGAGCUUUGUAUGUCUGAGUAAAAAAAAAAAUCAAUAGUCAAUGAAUCAACAAUGUAGAAUAUUUUAAGGAGAUGAAAUACAGCAGUUUCGCAUCUUCAUUAAAGGAAACUCAAACACAGGGUGAUGAAUAUGACAUACUGGGAUAGCGCAAAUAGAGUUUCACAUUGUAUGAUUGAAGCAAUGUUAUCAAUCGCAUAUUGCAGAAAAUAGCGGGUUGUUUGAAUACCACUGUGUAACAGUGCUAUAGCACCGCUAUUUGAAAACAUUAGGUACUAAAUAGUGUAUUGCAGAAUGAUAGAAUUGAUAAGGUGUAUGUAAGUAAGAACAUGGAGGUGCAGCAGGGAAUCAUUAGCACUAGUGUUGUAACUAACUUAGUGAGUAAAGCAUGACUAGAGACAGGUGGCAUGAGAAGAAAGAGAAAGGGGAUCUGAUGGUUAUAAGAGGAAAGAAUGUUCGGUAGGAAAUUAGGCAAUGAUUUGAGUAGUCACUCUACUUGGGAGAUUCUAGGUG